Molecule: long non-coding RNA, 27915 nt
Filed under: Capsicum annuum
Lineage: Eukaryota; Viridiplantae; Streptophyta; Magnoliopsida; Solanales; Solanaceae
Description: long non-coding RNA (CANN_LNC002860)
Source: RNAcentral
CCUCAUUGGUUUCACCUUUAGGAUGGCAUAGUCCUUAGGGAUAUUUCUCCGUUUCCUCUUUGUUAAUAAACUUCUUAACAUAUUAUUCUUCGAAUAAUUCUACUAUAAAGUAACUAAUAUGAAUUUAUUUUAUCAUAUCAUGAUUGUUGGGAAUUAUGAAAUUAGCUAUUCAUAAUCAUAAAUAGAUAUACCUGUUCGGGUAGCUUUGUUAUUUCUGAGUUUUGUUGUUCCAUAGCUUUUUCCAUUGGAAUAUGUUUAUCUAAUUAACUGAGUAAAAUAUUUUUUGUGGAUUGGAGAGAGCAAAGGUGCUUCAACGCAUGAAGGCUUGCUUUUGCAAUGCCUUCUGCCUUUGUUAUAUAUAGAACGAAAGAAUAAGCUUACAAUUUACACAUGUUUCUUGUUUCUAAAACUAAGACUAAAGAAAGUGAAAAGUCAAAGAAAGGGGGGCCUAUGCCUAUCUAAAUUUUCUAACUUUACGUAAUCUAACUUUUCUAACUUUUCUAAUUUUUCUAACUUUACGUAAAGUUUUUCAACAAUCUAAUUAAUGUACAACUAUUGCAAUCAAGACUUUUGAUACAUUAAUAUACAAUAAUUCUGCCUUUGUACAGUAUCUUGUCUCCGUUGAUUUUGUCGUAUCUGUUCCAUUAUUGCUCUGUAUCUGCUCCAUUAUUGCUCUUUAUCUUAUCUUUCCAGCUGGCAUUUUGUCUUCUUUAUUCUAGAUGUACCUCUGGAAUAAUAUUAUCUUCUCCAUUGCACCUCGAACAUUGGUGGUCUGGAUAUUUAUGUCCAAUUAUUUUACAGUAUCUUGUUAGCAGUCCUUCUGAAAUAAAUCCCUUUUUUAUUGCUCUCGCGGUAGAUUGUUUUUCUGGGUUAAGUAGCGUCAUUAUCCAUUGUCUUACGUCUUCCAUAUCUGCUUGUCGUAGCUCUUUUGAAUUUGAAUAUAUCAUUUGAUGAUCUCUUGAAUAGUAGCUCCAUAUUGGGUUUCCGUUAGCAUAGUUAUUUGCUAGUUCUUGAAUGAUCGUAGCUAGUCCAAUAAGUCUUUUAUUUGCAUAAAAAUCUGGUAUCUCGAUUCUAGGUAUCUCCGGUUGUUGCGAAAUAUCUUCUGGUAUAAUCAUAUCUCUUGUUAAUCCUAUCUUUACAACUUGUAUAACUGGUUUUAUUUCAUCAUAUAAUAUCUCUGCUGGUGCAGUAUAACACUUUAUAUAAAAUAAAUUUCCUUUUGUUAUUCUUUUGUAGGUAGUGAAUAUCUUGUAUAAUUCCUCCAUAGCUGUUAGCUCUUCUCCGUCUUGGGUAUAUAUGGUAUUUAGUAGUCCAUAGUCAAAACAGGUUUUAACUAGGCUUGGGUUAGUUUUGGGUAGUGCGAUUAAUUUAUUGUAUCCUUGUAAUUUUUGGGUUAUAUAAUUGGUAUUUGGUUCUUUGAUGUCUGUAGCUCUGGGGUUAUGGUUUAGAAAGGUUUGUACUCUGUAUAUAUUUUCUAUGUAUUUCUGGGCGGUGUAGUUGUAUUUUUAUUCCUAAUAUUAUAUCUGUUUUUUGCAUUUCUUCCUUAAAAAUAAUAACAAAGGAAGAAUAUUUAAAUGAUGAAGAAACGGAACAAAAAAUAAUAUUUGACAGUAAUAUAUUUGAUGAAAUAAAAGGAAAAGAAUUAGAUUUAAGUGUAGAGAAAAUAUUUAAAAUACCAACAAUAAAAAAUAUUUUUACUAGGAAAAAGGAUGAAUAUUAUGUAGUAUGCCAAAAAGAACAUGUAAUAGACUGCAGAUAUGCAAAAGGAAAAGCUAGUAUACCACUAGUAACAAAAAGAAUAAUUAAUAAAGAAAUAAAUGAUAUAAAAAGUAAAGGAGAUCCAAUAAAAUAUGUACACCUUGGAGGUACAGAGAUAUUAAUAAAAGCAUGUUUUAGAGAAGGAAUAGAUACACCAAUAGAAUUAUAUUUAGCAGACGAUAGAAUUAUAAAACCUAUAGAAAAAAGCAUAAUAACUGCCGUAAAAGGAAAUCUAAUAUACCAAAAAUUUAAAUUUAUAAUAAGUGCAAAUUAUUCAGUAGCAGUAACAGAUAGGAAUAUAGAUAAAUCAUUAGUAUUAUAUUGGAAAAUAUCAGGAAUAGAAUUAACCCCAGGAAGUAAAAUAUUUACAGCAAGAUGUAAAAAUCUAUAUGUAUUAACAACAAAACAUAAAAUAACAGGAAAAAAUAAGAUUAACAAAAUACAAAUAGAAAGCCCAUUCGAACAAAUAGUAAAAACAAUAGAUUAUAAUGAUUAUACCUAUAGAGACAUAGAUACAGAAGAAAAUUUAGAAAUAGUAAAUGAUAGAAUAAGUACAACGAAAAGAAUAGCUAAUGAAAAACCAGAAUCAUCAAGCUCAUCAAAAAGAACAAGUUAUGAAACAAAUUCAAUAAGUAAUUUAAACCAAUAUUACAUAACAGGAAAAAUAAAUGAAAAAGAAUAUCUAAUACUUUUGAAUACAGGACAAGAAGAAAAUCAUAUAGCAAAAUAUCUAGUAAAAAAUGAAGAAAUAAAAACCGAUAAUAAUAUAUGCCCAGAUUUACCAAGAAGUUUAAUAAAUAAUAAAAAUCUAGCAGAAAAAGAAAUAAUAUUAGGAGUUAGAAAAAUAAAAAUAGAAUUCGAAGUAAAAGAAGAAAUGCAAAAAGCAGAUAUAAUAUUAGGAAUAAAAUGGUUAGAACAAGUAAAACCAUAUAAUAUAGAACAUACACAAUUAACCUUAACAUAUAACCAAGAAAAGUUAUUCUUAAAAAGAGCCUUAACAUGAAAUGAAGAUACAUGUAUUAAUGAAGAUAGUAGUAGAAGGAUAUUACAGUAGAUAUUAUACGCCUAUGAUAGAUACAGGAGCAGAAGCUAAUUUAUGUAGAUAUAAUUGCUUACCAGAAAGCAAAUGGGAUAAACUAAAAACACCAAUAAUAGUUAAAGGAUUUAAUAAUGAAGGAAGCUUAAUUACUUAUAAAGCUAGGAAUGUAAAAAUACAAGUAUGGGAUAAGAUAUUAACAAUAGAAGAAAUUUAUAACUAUGAAUUAACAUCAAAAGAUAUACUUUUAGGAAUGCCAUUUUUAGAUAAAUUAUACCCACAUAUAAUAACUAAAACAGACUGGUGGUUUACAACACCAUGCAAACAAAAAGUAAGAGCAAAAAGAGUUAAUAAUAAAAUAAGAAAGAAAACUGAUUGGAUAAAAGGAAGUGAAAAAAUUACACAAAAGUUAGAAAAUAUAAACAAUACUGAAGAUACAGUAGAACUAGUAGUAUUUUCGAUAAAUAAAACAGAAAUAACUAUAUUUUCAAUAAAUAAAAUAGAAAUAAUUCAGAAAAAAUUAGAACAAUUAUAUAGUGAAGAUCCAUUAAAAGGAUGGGAAAAACACAAAACUACUAUAAAAAUUGAAUUAAUAGAUAAGAAUAGCAUAAUAACACAAAAACCAUUAACAUAUAAUUUUGAUGAUUUAAAAGAAUUUAAAAUGCACAUAGAUGAAUUAUUAGAAAAACAAUAUAUACAAAAAAGUAAUAGUAAACAUAAUAGUCCAGCAUUUAUAGUAAAUAAACAUAGUGAACAAAAAAGAGGAAAAAGUAGGAUGGUUAUUGACUAUAGAAAUUUAAAUGCAAAAACUAUAACAUAUAAUUAUCCGAUACCAAAUAAGAUAUUAAAAAUAAGACAAAUCCAAGGAUAUAAUUAUUUUAGCAAAUUUGAUUGUAAAUCAGGAUUUUACCACCUAAAGCUAGAAGAAGAAUCUAAAGAAUUAACCGCAUUUACGGUACCACAAGGAUUUUAUGAAUGGAACGUGUUACCAUUUGGAUAUAAAAAUGCACCAGGUAGAUAUCAACAUUUUAUGGAUAAUUAUUUUAAACAAUUAUCUAAUUGUAUAGUAUACAUAGAUGAUAUAUUAUUAUACACCAAAACCAAAGAAGAACAUUUAAAAUUAUUAGAACAAUUCACAGAUAUAAUAGAAAAAUCAGGAAUAAGUCUAAGCAAAAAGAAAGCUGAAAUUAUGAAAAACCAGAUAGAAUUUUUAGGAAUACAAAUAGAUAAAAGUGGAGUAAAAAUGCAACAACAUAUAGUACAAAAAAUAAUAAAUUCGAAAGAAGAAUUAGAUACAAAAAAGAAAUUACAAUCAUUUUUAGGAUUAGUAAACCAAGUAAGAGAAUAUAUUCCAAAAUUAGCAGAAACCUUAAAACCACUGCAGAAAAAAUUAAAAAAGGAUAUAGAAUAUAAUUAUGAUGAAAAAGAUAAAAAACAAGUUCAAAAAAUAAAAUUACUUUGUAGAGAAUUACCAAAAUUGCAAUUUCCAGAUGAAAAUAGAAAAUUUAUAUAUAUAGUAGAAGCAGAUGCAAGUGAAUAUAGUUACGGAGGAGUACUUAAAUAUCGAUAUGAAGCAGAAAAAAUAGAACACCAUUGUAGAUACUACUCAGGUACGUUCAACGAGACAGAAAUAAAAUGGGAAAUAAAUAGGAAAGAAUUAUGUUCAUUAUAUAAAUGUUUAUUAGCAUUUGAGCCAUAUAUUGUAUAUAACAAAUUUAUUGUACGAACAGAUAAUACACAGGUACGCUGGUGGUUAACAAAGAAAAUACAAAAUUCAGUUACAACAAAAGAGAUUCGAAGACUAGUUUUAAAUAUAUUAAAUUUCACAUUUACAAUUGAAGUGAUCAGUACUAACAAAAAUGUUAUUGCAGAUUACAUAUCAAGACAAAGCUACACAGACUGAAAUAGUAGAGGAAGAUACUCUAGAAAAAAUACUUAACACCCUAACUACGCUUUCAAUGAAAGUGGACAGUAUGGGUAAUGAGAUAGAAAAGCUAAAGACUAAUGAAGAUAAACUGAAGUCUAUAGCUACAAAUCAGCUAACUCAGCAAUGUGCAGAGCUAUGUCGAUCGAAAGACAUUAAAAAUCCAGAGCUAGAAGGAGACGUUGGGACACUCCAUAAAACCCAUAACAUUUAUCAAUCUACUUCUGCAGGUACAAGCAAAGGAGUUAAUAGACCAAGAUACCAGAAUGUAAAUAUGAACAAAAUAUUUGAAAAACCAUUUACCCCAAAAGCACAAAAAGACCAUUUAUUCAUACCCCCACAAGUUAACACAUACCGAGACAGCCUAAACCAAGACAAGAAAAUAUACAACUACACAGCCCAAAAAUACAUAGAAAAUAUAUAUAGAGUCCAAACCUUUCUAAACCAUAACCCCAGAGCUACAAAUAUCCAAGAACCAAAUACCAAUUAUAUAACCCAAAAACUACAAGGAUACAAUAAACUGAUAGCACUACCCAAAACUAACCCAAGCCUAGUUAAAACUUGUUUUGACUAUGGACUACUAAAUACCAUAUACACCCAAGACGGAGAAGAGCUAACAGCCAUGGAAGAAUUAUAUAAGAUAUUCACUACCUAUAAAAGAAUAACAAAAGGAAAUUUAUUUUAUAUAAAGUGUUAUACUGCACCAGCAGAGAUAUUAUAUGAUGAGAUAAAACCAGUGAUACAAGUUGUAAAGAUAGGACUGACAAGAGAUAUGAUUAUACCAGAAGAUAUAUCGCAACAACCAGAGAUACCUAGAAUCGAGAUACCAGAUUUUUAUGCAAAUAAAAGACUUAUUGGACUAGCUACGAUCAUACAAGAACUAGCAAAUAACUACGCUAACGGAAAUCCAAUAUGGAGCUACUAUUCAAGAGAUCACCAAAUGAUAUAUUCAAAUUCGAAAGAACUAAGACAAGCAGAUAUGGAAGACGUAAGACAAUGGAUACUGACGCUACUUAACCCAGAAAAACAAUCUACCGCGCGAGCAAUAAGAAAAGGAGUUAUUUCAGACGGACUGCUAACAAGAUACUGUAAGAUAAUCGGACAUAAAUAUCCAGACCACCAAUGUUCGAGGUGCAAUGGAGAAGAUAAUAUUAUUCCAGAGGUACAUCUAGAAUAAAGAAGACAAAAUGCCAGCUGGAAAGAUAAGAUAAAGAGCAAUAAUGGAGCAGAUACAGAGCAAUAAUGGAGCAGAUAAAAAGCAAUAAUGGAGCAGAAAAAGAGAAAGAAUGGAGCAGAUACGACGCAAUAAUGGAGCAGAAAAAGAGCAAUAAUGGAGCAGAUACGACAAAAUCAACGGAGACAAGAUACUGUACAAAAACAGAAUUAUUGUACAUUAUGUAACAAAAGUCUUUUGUACAUUUAUUAGGUUGUUGAAAUUAUUGACAACCUUUACGUAANNNNNNNNNNNNNNNNNNNNNNNNNNNNNNNNNNNNNNNNNNNNNNNNNNNNNNNNNNNNNNNNNNNNNNNNNNNNNNNNNNNNNNNNNNNNNNNNNNNNNNNNNNNNNNNNNNNNNNNNNNNNNNNNNNNNNNNNNNNNNNNNNNNNNNNNNNNNNNNNNNNNNNNNNNNNNNNNNNNNNNNNNNNNNNNNNNNNNNNNNNNNNNNNNNNNNNNNNNNNNNNNNNNNNNNNNNNNNNNNNNNNNNNNNNNNNNNNNNNNNNNNNNNNNNNNNNNNNNNNNNNNNNNNNNNNNNNNNNNNNNNNNNNNNNNNNNNNNNNNNNNNNNNNNNNNNNNNNNNNNNNNNNNNNNNNNNNNNNNNNNNNNNNNNNNNNNNNNNNNNNNNNNNNNNNNNNNNNNNNNNNNNNNNNNNNNNNNNNNNNNNNNNNNNNNNNNNNNNNNNNNNNNNNNNNNNNNNNNNNNNNNNNNNNNNNNNNNNNNNNNNNNNNNNNNNNNNNNNNNNNNNNNNNNNNNNNNNNNNNNNNNNNNNNNNNNNNNNNNNNNNNNNNNNNNNNNNNNNNNNNNNNNNNNNNNNNNNNNNNNNNNNNNNNNNNNNNNNNNNNNNNNNNNNNNNNNNNNNNNNNNNNNNNNNNNNNNNNNNNNNNNNNNNNNNNNNNNNNNNNNNNNNNNNNNNNNNNNNNNNNNNNNNNNNNNNNNNNNNNNNNNNNNNNNNNNNNNNNNNNNNNNNNNNNNNNNNNNNNNNNNNNNNNNNNNNNNNNNNNNNNNNNNNNNNNNNNNNNNNNNNNNNNNNNNNNNNNNNNNNNNNNNNNNNNNNNNNNNNNNNNNNNNNNNNNNNNNNNNNNNNNNNNNNNNNNNNNNNNNNNNNNNNNNNNNNNNNNNNNNNNNNNNNNNNNNNNNNNNNNNNNNNNNNNNNNNNNNNNNNNNNNNNNNAAAAAGAUAUAAAAAAUAUGCAGUUACUAGAAAAACAUAUAAAAAUAAAUAUAGAUAAAUACAUGGAAAACAAAGAUAUAAAAUUUCUUAAUAAAAAUAUGCAAAAACUGCUAAGACUAAAACAAACAGCUACAAAACAAUUUUAAAAAUAGAUCAUUUAGAUUAUCUUAAAGUUUUAAUCUUAUAUAUACUUAAAAACAUAGAAAUUAUAGAUAUUAAGAAAAUAAUAUUAGAAAAAGUAAUAGAUUACGAAACUGAAACUAUAAAUUACCUAGAACAGUUAUACGAAGAAAUUUACCCAGAAGGAUAUUAUUCAGAUUAAGAUAUGUUAGAAUAUAUUAGACAAACUAGAGAAAAUCAAGAAAAUCUAAAUAAUGAAAUUAAUUAUAGAAACCGAAUUAGACAAAUAAUGAAAGACCUAAAAGAAAAAUUAAUAUGGAUAGAAAAAACCUUAGAAAAUUUAGAUAAAAGUACAUGUGAUAGUUUAUAUAAUUUAAAAAACUCACUACGAGAAGAACAACACAAGAUAAUAAAUAACAUUGAAAAUCUAGAAUUAGAUAUACAUUAUAGCACAGAUAGGAUAAAUUAUUAUACAAGAAUUUGUAACUCUGCAAUUACUACAGGAUAAAAUAAUUAAUGAAUAUAUCUUACGAAAAAAGUAAAUUAUUAAAAGAUAUUGAAACAAAAUAUCCACGCACUAAUAAAAAUAGAUUCACUAGAAACCUACUAAAUCUAUUAUACCUACUAAAUCUAUUAUACCUAUUAAAUCUUUUUAAUUCUUUACGUUUUUCUGAGAUAAUUUGUUUUAAUUCUUUAUAUUGUUGUACUUUAUUCAUUUUAAAUUAUAUUCAUAAUAUCUUGGUGGAUAUCUAAAUCUAAUUUUAUCAUAAUUAGGUGGUAUAUGUUUCAUUCUUCUAUCUCGGUAUGUGUUAACUUGUGGGGGUAUGAAUAAAUGGUCUUUUUGUGUUUUUGGGGUAAAUGGUUUUUCAAAUAUUUUGUUCAUAUUUACAUUCUGGUAUCUUGGUCUUAGAAUAUUUUCUUUGUCUCAACUCUCUCAUUCACUACUAUACACUGUAAUCUUUUUCACACUUGUCCUAUUUCCUUGUACAUACAAUAACAUGCAAGACCACCUGUAUUUAUAGGUGAGGUAUUCAUCCUUGUAUUGAAUAGGAUAAAUGAGGGGUAGAUGAAUAGUCUUAGGUUAUAUAAGUUACAUGAAAGUAAUGGCCAUGAAGUUACAAGAACUAAUGACCUUGAGAGUUACAAGAACUAAUGGUCAUUUAGGUUACAAAAACGUAGAUGACCAAAUUCAUCCAAUAAUCAAAUAAUUAAAGUCCACAUUCUUACCACUACUAAUGUGAGUAAAUAGGUAUAUAAUACCUCACAAAUUUAGAGUAAACAUGCAUCCAAAAAGACAUAUUUUUUUACUUAAUGUCGUCAUUUAUUGACAAGGAGUAAUGUGCUUGUAAUUAACACAUAAUGACACCAAGGGAUAAUAUGUUUGCUGCUUCACCAUAUUAACGGAUAGGAGUUAUAUCACAAAUGCAUAAUAAUAUUAUAUAAAAGUAGUAUUAAAAUACUAACCCUAACAAUCCUCCACUCAUUUUAAUAUUAACAAAAGAGAGUUCACCAAUUAGUUGAAGGGAGGCUAUUAUGCAUAAUACAGGUGUGCUCUGCAUUGAACCUCCUCUUAAUAAAACAAUAAUCUUUACUCCAGAGUCAGUAGUGGUCUUAGACUUGAACUAUGAUUGCUUAAGAAAAAUAAAGAAUCAGUGCUUACACACAAUAAUCAAGGUGUUGAUAUAAACUUUAAUAUCCAGCACGUUACGACCAUGUGCUAUUUCGAUUUUUCAUGAGCGUUUUUUAGAAUAAACCCAAUUCUCAUAGGAAACAACCUACUUCCACACUCACAUAGGUGAAAUUUGUCAAGGGUGGUCCUAUAAUUUUUACACCCCACUCAUAAGAUAUACAAAAUUUGAUGAAGAGCUAUUUGACUCAACCUUCACAAAUCAUUACAGGAACAAUGCACUUACAUCAUAGGAAGGAUUAAAUAAUAGUGCAUCCCACACCAAAUCAUCAUAUGAUUCGUUCUUCCCGUUGAACCUGGUUAUAAGAUCUCUAGUCCACAGGUUGGGUUUCCUCAUAUAUGUCUCAUGAUUUUUUAUAGACUUCCCUCCUUCCUCCCUCUCGAUGUGAUUCAGACCCUCUAUCUUGCCAAGGCCUUGCUUAGUUCAUUUGCUACAUAUAGUUUGAAAUACUCAAUGUUAGUGGUACCACUUGUCAAAUAUAAUAUCACAAUACUAUUUUUAAUUCUCAUGUGUCUAAAUUUAUUGUUGUAAUAACAGUCUCAAACUUUAUCAAUAAUAUUGGCGCUAUCACAAUAACUCAAAAUUAGAGAAAUUAAUUUCUCAAAAUAAAGUGAUUGAUUAAUUCAUUUUUUUUCCUAGUUGAACCUAAAAUAAUUAUUUCAACCUCCACGAUAGAGUUAGCAAAUAAUAAUUUUUUUCUCAUUUCAACAAAUAGCACCAAGAGUUCUCAUCUGCAUUACAAAGUACUUUUAAGUAAAGAAGGAUUUUUUUUAAAUAGAACAAGCCACAAAUUUUUAUAUCAAGUAAAUAUACUUGAUUCACUUGUGUAUACCUGCAAAAUACUUCUAUUGCAUGGAUAAUAUCAAGUCAAGUACAAUUAGCCACCUAUCUCUUCUUUUAUUGGGUUAGCAAACACCUUUUUAUUUGUCACAUCACUUUCAUAUAUUUGAAUCAAAAGGAAUUGCAUAGCUUAUACAAUCAACAAAUUAUAUUUCACAAUUUUUUUUUCACCAUAAUGUGACAUGUCAAGAAAAAGUUUAUCACAUGAUUUAGGUAUUUUUCAUUCCUAGAACGAAAUUUAUCUCACUCAAAUAUUCAAUGUCAAGUUGGCUAUUCAAUUUAUCAUUUAUUUGAUAACAUGCAUGUUAGAGCCAAAGACAUCAAUAAAUAUACAAAUAGUAGUAACAUGUGAUUUAUUCCAAGACUAAUAUAUGCACUUGUAAUUUCUUUUUAAAGUAUUCUCAAAAUAGCAAAAUCACAUUUUUCAUGAUGAUUUUUUCUCAUUUCAUUAGCCCCUAGUAUUUGAGACUUUAAAAAAAAAAAUAAACUUUCAUAAAAAGUAUCAUUUUAUUCAUGAAAAAUAAUAGGUAACUUUUUACCUUUCCUCCACAACAAGUAGAAAAGAUUUUACCUUCCCUCCGCUUGAGUUGAGGAGUAGAAAGAUACUUUACGUGGCUAUCUCUUGUCAUCCAUCUUUUGAGAUCUUUCAUAUUUAUGUCCAUGAUUUUUCAAGCCGUAACAAAAUUUAAAUCUCCUUAAAAUUUUGGUGUAAUAUACCACAAAUUACCAUAGUUACAUUUGAAAUAAUAAAAUGAACAAAAUUGAAGAAAAUAAGAUAUUUGUCUUUUUGGAUGAGGCACGAAUAUCUCACUCUCUUUAAGGAAAUUCAAGCCCAUUGUGGCAUAAUUUACACUGAUCCAGCAGUAUAUCUCUUGACUGAUCCGCUCCAGGAUACAACAGCCCAUCUACGAUGUACAACUCAAACAACUCCGGAUUAGGUGAAGAGUCCAAAGCUCCACCAUAAGAACACCUUCCUUCAACAUAUAUUUACUCUCUUUGUAUAGUGAAUAUAGUUAAAGACUUUGAAUAUUUUCUUUGUCUCAACUCUUUCUUUCACUAAUGUAAUAACUCUCUUUUGUAUAGUGAAUAUAGUUGUAGAAUUAGGAUAUUUUCUUUGUCUCAACUCUCUCUUUAACUACUACACACUAUAAUCUUUUUCACACUUUUUAUAUUUCCCUGUACAUAUAAUAACAUGCAAGGAUACCUCUUUUUAUAGGUGUGGUAUUCAUCCUUGUAUUGAAUAGAAUAAAUGAGGGGUAGAUGAAUAGUCUUAUGUUACAUAAGUUACAUGAAAGUAAUGGUCUUAAAGCUACAAGAACUAAUGACCUUGAGAGUUUAAAGAACUAAUGGUCAUUUAGGUUACAAAAAUGUAGAUGACCAAGUUCAUCCAAUAAUCAAAAAAUUAAAAUCCACAUUCUUACCACUACUAAUGUGAGUUAAUAGGUAUAUAAUACCUCACAAUUUUAGAGUAAACAAGCAGCCAAAAAGACAUGUUUUUUACUUAAUGUCAUCACUUAUUGACAAGGAGUAAUGUGCUUAUAAUUAGCACAUAAUGACACCAAGGGAUAAUGUGUUUGUUGUUUCACCAUAUUAACGGAUAAGAGUUACAUCACAAAUGUAUAAUAAUAUUAUAUAAAAGUAAUAUUAAAAUGCUAACCCCAAUAAUAUUAUAUAAAAGUAAUAUUAUAUACUGUUGGAUCGGUGUAAAUUAUGCCGCAAUAGGCUUGAAUCUCCUUAAAAUUAUUGGUGAAAUAUACCAUUGAUCAAUAUAAUCUCAUAAUAUUGUAUUUUUCUGCUUAUGGUCUGAAUUUACCAUUAUAGUAAUGGUUUGUACUCUACCAAUAAAUUUUGGUGCUAUCACAAUAACUCAAAAUUAGAGAAAUUAAUUUCUUAAAAUAAAGUGAUUGGUUAAUUCACUUUUUCACUAGUUGAACCUAAAAUAAUUAGUUCAACCUCCUCUCUAGAGAAUUUUAAAACUUGUCUCCAUGAAGUUGAAAAUCAAUUUAAUAGAAAAAUAAAAAGAAUUAGAAGUGAUAGAGGCCGUGAAUAUGAGUCACAUAAAUUUAAUUCUUUUGGUAGAUCAUUGGGUAUAAUUCAUGAAACUACUCCUCCUUAUUCUCUUGCAUCUAAUGGUGUAGCGAAAAGGAAGAAUAGAACGUUCGUUGAGUUGACUAAUUCCAUGUUAAUUAAGUCUUGUUGAACCUUUAAGCUCUUUUGACUGCUUUUUAUGUGUUGAAUCAUUUGCCUCAUAAAAAGACCAAACUAACACCUUUUGAGUUGUCAAAAGGUCAUAAGCCAAAUUUGGGAUAUCUAAGAGUUUAGGGUUGCUUAGUCUAUGUAAGGUUAAUGGAUCCUAAAAUCUCUAAGUUGGGUAAAAAAAUUACUACUUGUGUUUUUCUUGGUUAUGCUUCAAAUAGUACAACCUAUAGAUUUUUUAGUCAUGAAGAUAGUGUGAUAAUAGAAUCAGGUGAUGCUAUUUUCAUAAAAAUAAAUUCUCGUUUGAUUCUAAAAAUAGUGGGGUCAAAUGAAUAAAGUGAUAUGGGUCAAAGCAGCAUCGAGGACAUGAAGACAUGAGUGAAGACCCGAGUUUGUGGGGCUGCUCAGCAAAGAAACAAGCUUUGAAAUGUUGAGAACAAGUCCCAACACUCCAAAACCAUCCAAGGAGUACACUACAAUGUAACGCCCCAAAUCUGGUACCCAAAAUGCUACACGAUGCUCAUAAUCCCAAAGGACCACAAGCUAAUCCAUGACUGAUAUCUGUAACUGAGCCCUGAAUAAUAAUAGCAAUAUCGUAAAUACAGAAACAUAAACUGAAAGGUCAUAAGGUUCAAUACUAAUACAUAACUAAAAAUAUGGUAUAACAAUACCAAAAUAACUGAAAUAACUGUCCGAACAUGUUGUGGUUUGAAAGCCUCUAAAAACUGAACUGUCUGAAUAAAGAGUUGAUGGGACAAACCCCCAACUAACCCCAUCUGCUAAAAUAAACUAAGUACUGAAAGAAUGAAAUAAUCAAAUAAUAACAUCGUUGAAUGAUAAGGACUCACUGCUGACUCUGACUACUGAAACUAGAAUGCUACUGAUACUCUAGAAUGCGUGCUUCUGAACCUAUGGUAUAAAAGACCAUAGCGCAAAUACGUCAAUACGAUUGAAUAUACUGGUAUGAAAGUGAGGUAGGCUGAAUGCAAUGGUUCAUAUGCAUGAACAAUACUAACUGACUAAACAACAUGAACGUAAGAAUACUUGCAUGAAUACGUAACUGUAUUUGAGAUCGUGAUAACACUAACUCAUGAAUUCUAAUAACGUGGAUUUACUGAUAUCUGGGUACUAAUACUAGGAUACUUAAAGACUAAUUCUAUUGAGUACUAAGGAACUGAUGUCAUAUUACUGAUAAAGGAAUGACUGUUUCUGACAGUUCUGAUUUUGGAGAACUGGUCUGAUUAACUGUAUCUGACAGUCCUAAAAUCUGAAUACUGGUAACAUGAAUUUCAUAUAAUUAAUAUACUAUUAACUGGGUGACUGUGUCUAACAGUCCUGAUUUUAAUGAAACUAGCUGAGUUCCGUAUUGAGCUAAGCGACUGUAUCUGACAAUCCUGAAACUAUAGAACUAAACUAAGUUCUAUUACUGAGACUGGAUCUAAAACUGAGACUGUGGAAGGUAAUCAUCUUACCAACAUGCCCCAAAAAUGAACUGGUCGGGUCCAACUUAUAACCCCAGCUGGAAAGUGUCAGUACCGUGCCACGAGUAAAGAUAAGUUAUAAGUAAACCCUCUCUGACAAGGAGCUCUUCCGUCAACCCCUUCUAGUAGGUAGAUCAAAUGAGGUGUAUAAUCCCUAAAAUUAUAGGGUACAUCUCAACCUACACUGGCUACAUAGUUUUGGAAUGUAAGGAUUGCUUUUAAGGAUCAGACCCUCUACUGACUAACAGGUGAGUCCCCAUCCUUGAGUUCAUAUGCCGAAUCUUACUCCCAACUGAAGAGAUACUGAACUGAUUUAAACUAAACUAAACUAUUACUGAUAGUAUCUUUUAUCUAAUUUGAACAGAGUUCACUAAAUUUUGUUAACUAAUGGAAUACUACUGAGAUCAGAUAACUGACUGAGAUUACUGAGAUUACUAAGUUUUCCUGAGUCAUAUAACUGACUAAAUUUUAAUGAUCAUGGCUUGAAUGGGAGUAUCGUGAAAACUGACACUGACUCUAGGCACACAGCUAAAUUGUUGGGUACAAGUACCCCCAGGACUCGAUAGAAUAAAAUUGACAAGACUUGACACUUCAUGAACACAUAACCAAUAUCAAUAAUUCAUAAUACAAUAAGUUGGGGAUUUCAUAAAACAAAUGGUUGUUAUAAUAUUGUACAUAGAUGGAAUUGCAUAUAGAUAUGUCAUACUUUCAUCAUCCUAAUCUCAUGAACAUUCCAUCAAAUACUCAUAAUGCAUACAAUAUCAUGGAAGUCAGUCUUGGUCAUAAAGGUAAAGCAUACAUUUAUUAUUUGAGUCACAGUUAAGUUAUAACACCCAAUUUCUAUCCUCCCAGCCAUUUUGUCAAACACCCUACAUACAUAACUUAGGGAAUAGGUGAAAUCAUCAAAUUACACAUCAUAAACAACUCAAUUCAUGGAUUUCAUCUUGCAUGCUAACGUAGUUUCAUGAAAACACAUAAAGAUUCCAACUUAGGAAUCAUACAACAAGAUAAACAUGGUUACAAACAACCCACAACAUAAAUAUCAUGUUUUAUAAUUUGAAACAGGGUUCUUGGACUUCAUGGAUGAAAGGAAUCCAUAAAUCAAUACUUAACAUAUCUUAGUUCCUGAUUUUACAAAGAUUGACGGAGAGAUUCUUGAAUUUGUGUAUUGAAUUUGAAUCCUUAAUUGAAAACCCUAGCUUGUUCUUGAGAGACUCCAUAUUUUGGGUGAAAUAUGGUUGAAUUACAUGUUAUUGGGUUUAUCUAAGAAUGGGAAAUUAACCUUUUUGCCUUUAAAAAUGUGGACAUUUAAUGACUAAAAAUUAGGUGCCGACGCUAUAAGCAGCGCGAUGCGUUGAUGGGUGUGAUACGAUACUCAAUGCGUUACGCCAUGAUUGUAUCGAGCCUCAGAAGUUUUAGCUCUAGAAACCUGCACAAAUGUUGACCAACGCGACUGGUGAUGCGGCGUUCCAUGAUCGUAUUGGUCCACUAUUUUAGAACUCCGAACAUGAUCUAAACGUGUUCUGAAAAUCCGAAACUUAUUUGGAAACACCUAUUGACCUUCCUAAUCAUAAAAUAAUAAAAAUAUGGACCAUUAAAGGACUUUAAGGUGGUGAAAUGAGAUUGCCAACUUUCGAAGGCCAAUAAUAGGCUAAGUCUGGGAACCUAGCUAGAAUUUUCUAAAUCUGCGACCCUUGACAAGCUUAAAGGACUGAAUUAAGAUUUAGGAUUUUACGGGGUCUUACAAUAUCUUCCCCUUUAGAACAUUCAUUCUUGAAUGAGACUAAUUAAGAGGGAAGAAAAUAUAAAUUGACGUACAUACUGAACAUGAACAACUGGAACCUGAUUCCAUGACUGACAUGACUGAUAAACUGAAUGUAUCAUACUGAACAUGCAUAUCUGAUGCAUGGUUAACUGGUUCAUAAAUGCAUGACUUAAUAUGCAAUGGUAAUUGAUACAAGUUUAUCAUGGAAAUCUGAGCAUGAAACUGGAUAAGUUUAAGGGAGAUUGUUUCCUUAAAUUGAAAAUGCUAAUAAGCCUAAAAUUAAUUACUAGAUCUGUAUGAGCAAAAAUACGUGAACGUAACUGGUUCUGGAAUGUGAUACAUGAGCUAGAUAUUGUGAUCUAAACUGAGUACCUUGAAUACACAGCUUAUAGCUGAGGUUGGAGUUUGAGGGUCAACUUAUAAGUACCCCCUUACUCCAAAUUAGAUUCAUUACGAGAAGAGAUAAUGACAUGUUUUAUGUUAUGAGAGUUUGGGGAAUUAUUUUGUAUCUCUCCCUUGGGACACUAGGUCCCUCAAAGAAUACUAAUUUUGUUGAGAUAAUGAGGAAAUCUAGGGCAAUACAGAAGGAACCUAUGAACUGAAUUGCAGCUGGAUAUCCGAUAUCUGAAGCUAAGACAAAGUGAUUAGACCUUACGCACUACAACUAAGACUACUAAAAAGAUUUACGUGGGUGCUGAGCAUGAAUGCAUAAAUAUAUACUAACUUUAUCUGCUUAACUGAAUAACUUAUAUCUGAGUAUUGGGCGUGUAAGACUGAACUGUACUUAGUCUAGAUAGUUGGAUUGAGACUAUAGGGUAUUAUAUAUAGGAGGUAAUGACUGAAUGGGUAACAUGAGGUAAAUGAGCAUGAGUGAAGAAAAACUGUAUUACCUUAGGAACACAAGACCAGGCGUCUAAUCAUGAUUUGGAAACAUUUUGUAAACUAAGGUACUAUAAUACUAAUAACUGAGUAACUGAUGGCCAUAUGUUAUAGUCGGGUAAUCUUGAAACUGGAUUGAGUUUCUGAUCUGACUACUGGACUAGGACUGGGACUGAUAUUGUAGCUAAGACGGUAAUUGAGACUGUAACUGUAACUAAGACUGUAACUGAGACUGAAUGCUGGUUUUCUAUAACUGAGGGUAUGGGAGUACUGAAUUUUGAUGGCUAAGUAACUGAUAGCUAAAAGCCAUGGUUCUGUAGGACUAUCUGAGUCCUUUACUGAAUACUCCUUCCAUUUUGGAAUAAGUGAAUUGUUGGGGUAUUUGUUGGUGUUUCAAAAUAAGUGAAUCAUUGAAUUUUUAUUCAAAUUUUUCCUUAUGAUUUGACAACUAAUUAAAUUUUAAAAAGGUAUUACAAGGUAAGCUUUUUCUUUUUUGGGGUAAAAAUGGAAAGUUGUGUUAAAUUUAUGUCUUUAAUGCUUUUUCCUUAAUUUGUGUGCCAAAAUCCAAUAAUUCACUUAUUAUGAAAUGGAGGGAGUAUUGAUUACUGAACUGACACUGAAACUGAGGCCUGCGGGAUGGAACAUUAACACUAUAGAUUCACCAAGGGAUCUAAACUGAGGGUAUACGUGGCAUAAUCCGAGUUUUACUGAACACUAGGAGUGAAUUCAUGAAUCGUGUGGGCUAAGCAUACUAUAAAUCAUGACAUGAGUGCAUGAUUCAUGAGCUGCAUGAACUGGGUUUGGAAUUUCUGAAUUCGUGGAACAUAAUUCGAACAUUGGAUGACCUUGGAUUCCUCAUACGAAAAACUUGAAACACAUACUAUUCAAUGAAAUGCACAUGAAUAUAAGUUGUAUUCGUGGGACUGAAAUGGAAAGCAUGUGCAAGUAUCAUGAUGGUUGAAGUACAAAACUUCGCACUGAGAUAAUAAUGGUUCGGGAAUCUUCCCUUAUGGAUUUCCUACAUAUACUGGUAUUACUACUGGAACCUGAAGACCUAGCUUUCAUAGAUUUCAUAACCAGACAGUUCCUGUAUACCUGUCGGGCUGUGUUAGACUGAAUCAAUGGGGUGGGGAUUAUAAAUAGGUCCUGUUAAAAUUUGGUCUGACCUUAAAGUUAAAUGCUAUGCAAAGAGUUACAAAAGAAAAAAAAACUCCUGAAUCUGAAGAAACGUAAAAAUAUAAAUGAGGGACCUGUAACAUACCAGUGGCUACAUCAGGAGGAAUUUCCUGAUCCUAUUGGGACUGAAGUACAUAAGUCUGCUUGGGCGUUGCCCACUGAUAGCCCUGGAAUUGGCACCCUGCUGAUUCAGGGGACCGGACUGAGUUAAAGGACGACUGUGCUUACUUCUAGGUCCAUUACUAGGACAAUAUCGACCCCUGUGACCUGUCUCUCCACAUCCGAAACACACAUCAAUACCUGCUCUACAUAUACCUUAUGAUGCUUACCAUACUCUUCACAAAGUGGAUGACUAAAAACCCUGCUCUCACUACCCUGGGCCUUGGAGCUUGGUGCCUUAUCUCUGCGGUUAUUUCUGAACUUUAGUACUGGUGUACUAGCUGAAGAUUGAACUGGGGCUGAAAAUCUCUGUCUAUACUGAAAUCGAUUACCACCCUGCAACCCUGGCUGAGAAAAAUAUUAACUACCAGUUCUGGACCUCUUAUGUUCCCUUUCCUUCUUCUUAAGUUUCUGCUCCUCAAUCUGUUAAGCAUGGACCAUAAGCCUAGAUAUGUCUAUCUCCUUAAUCAACAUCGCAGUCCUGCACUCCUUAACCACUCUACCUGAUAUCCAGAUACAAACUUAUUCAUUCUAGAUUUACUGUCUGCUACUACAUGAGGAGCGUACCUGGCUAACUGAGUGAACUUAAGGGACUUCUUUUACGCUCAUGCUACCUUGUUUGAGGUUGAUAAAUUCUAAAACUUUGGCUUCUUUCUAAUCUAGGGGAAAGAAUCUACCUAAGAAAGCUGUAGCAAACUCUUUCCAUUCUAUGGGCUCUGUAUCUGCACCCCUGUCUACCUUCCACUACUUAAACCACGUAUGGGCUACAUCUUAUUGAUGAUAGGCGGCUAACUUUGCACUCUCACUAGAAGUCACUCUCAUGAUAUCUGUGACUUUUUGAACCUGAUUGAGGAACUCCUCUAGAUUCUCUUCGGACUUAGAACUAGAGAAUAGGGGAGGAUUCAUUCGGGUAAAGUCCCAAAUCCUGGCUGCACCAGAAUUGGCCAUAGGGUUGGCCGGAACAGUAGCUGGCCGAUCAUUCUGAGUUGUGAUAGAAUUGGCUAUAAUAGUGAAUGCAAUUCUGAAUUCUGCAUGAGAGACGUGCUCAUCUGGAGGAUCUUCCUGGAUAGGCUGAGGUGCUGACUAAUUCCCUAUUCCUUUUUCAUUAGCCCUUUUGGAGGCAUGUUCUAUAAACGGAAGAGAAGAAGGGAUUAAACUGAGAGUUUGACUAGAGCUCAUGCUCACUCGCACGAUAUGAAUACUAAAAGAAGGGAAAAUGUUCCUAAAAUAUCUCAUAGCCUCCUACACAUAAGUGUGGUGCACAACACACCUAUGUACAAUACUCUACUAGAUGCGGUAUUUCAGAAUUCCUAAGACGCUGUUGAACCUUAGGCUCUGAUACCAAGUGUGUAAUGCCUCAAAUCUGGUAUUUACAGUGUUACAUGGUGCUCAUCAUCCUGAAGGACCACAAGCUAACCCAUGGCUGAUAUCUGUAACUGAGCCCUCAAUAGUAAUGGUAAUUAUUGUAAAUACGAAAACAUGAACUGAAAGGUCAUAAGGUUUAAUACUAAUACAUAAUUAAAAAUAUGGUAUAACAAUACCAAAACAACUAAAAUAACUAUCUGAACAUAUUAUAGUCAGAAAGCCUCUAAAAAUUGAACUGUUUGAAUAAAGAGUUGACGGAACAAUCCCCAAACUAGCCCCAUAUGCUCAAAUAAACUAAGUACUAAAAGAAUGAAAUAAUCAAAUAAUAACAUCCUUGAAUGAUGAGGACUCACUACUGACCCCGAUUGUUAAAACUGGAAUGCUACUGAUACUCUGAAGUGCGCGCUUUUAAACCUAUGGUAUAAAAAUUCAUAGCAAAAAUACGUCAGUAUGAUUGAAUGUACUGGUAUGAAAGUGAGGUAGGCUAAAUGCAAUGGUUCAUAUGCAUGAACAAUACUAACUGACUAAAAAACAUGAACGUGAAACUACAUACAUGAAUACGUAACUGUAUCUGAGAUCGUGAUAACACUAACUCAUGAAUUCUAAUAAUGUAGAUUUAAUGAUAUCUGGGUACUAAUAUUGGGAUACUAAAAUACUAAGUCUAUUAAGUAUUGAGGAACUAAUGUCAUAUUACUGAUAAAGAAAUGACUAUUUCUGAUAGUUUUGAUUAUGAAAAACUGGUCUGAUUGAUUGUAUCUAACCGUCCUAAAAUCUGAAUAUUGGUAACAUAAAUUUCGUAUAAUUAUAUACUAUUAACUGGGUGACUGUGUCUGACAGUCCUAAUUCUGAUGGAACUAGCUGAGUUCCGUACUGAGCUGAGCGACUGUAUCUGACAGUCCUAAAAUUGUAGAACUGAACUGAGUUUUAUUACUAAGACUAGAUCUGUAACUAAGACUGUGAAAGGUAAUCAUCUAACUGACAUACCCCGAAAUUAAACUGUGGGGUCCAACCUAUAACUCCAGCUGAAAGGGUGUUAGUACUAUGCCACGGGUAAAGACAAGCUGUGAGUAAACCCUCUCUGACAGGGAGCUCUUCCGUAACCCCUUCUAGAAGAAAACUCAAAUCAGGUGUAUAAUCCUUAAACUCGUAGGGUGUAUCUCAACCUAGGCUGGCUACGUAGUUCAGGAAUGCAAGGAUUGCUUCUAAGGAUCAUACCCUCUACUGACUAACAGGUGAGUCCCCAUCCUUAGGUUCACUCGGUGCUGAAUCCUACUCCCAACUAAAGAGACACUGAACUGAUUUAAACUGAACUAAACUAUUACUGAUAGUAUCUUUUAGCUGAUUUGAAUAGAGUUCACUAAAUUCCAUUGACUAACGGAAUAGUACUGAGAUCGGUUAACUUAUUGAGAUUACUGAGAUUACUGAGUUUUCCUAAGUCAUGUAACUAACUGAAUUAUAAUGAUCAUGGCUUGAAUGGGAGUAUCGUGAAAACUAAAACUACCUCUAGGAACACAACUAAAUUAUCGGGUACAAGUACCCCCAGGACUGAUAGCAUGAAACUGAUAAGACUUGACACUUUAUGAACACAUAACCAAUAUCAAUAAUUCAUAAUAUAAUAAGUUGGGGAUUUCAUAAAACACAUUGUUGUCAUAAUGUUGUACAUGUAUGGAAUUGCAUAUAGAUAUGUCAUACUUUCAUCAACCUAAUCUCAUGAACAUUCCAUCAAAUACUCAUAAUGCACACAAUAACAUGGAAGUCAGUCUUGGUCAUAAGGGUAAAGUACGCAUUUAUUAUUUGAGUCAUAAUUGAGCUAUAAUACCCAAUUUCAAUACUCCUAGCCAUUUUUUCAAACACCCUACAUGCACAACAUAGGACGUAGGUGAAAUCAUUAAAUUACACAUCAUAAACAACUUAAUUCAUGGAUUUCAUCUUGCAUGCUAACGUAGUUUCAUGAAAACACAUAAAGAUUCCAACUUGGGAAUCAUACAACAAGAUAAACAAGGUUACAAACAACCCACAAUAUAAAUAUCAUAUUUUCUAAUUUGAAAGAGGGUUCUUGGACGUCAUGAAUAAAAGGAAUCCGUAAAUCAUCACUUGACAUACCUUAGUUCCUAAUUUUACAAAGAUUGACGGAGAGAUCUUGAAUUUGAGUAUUGAAUUUAAAUCCUUAAUUAAAAACCCUAGCUUGUUCUUGAUAGAAACUUAAGAGAAACUCUAUAUUUUGGUUGAAAUAUGGAUGAAUCACGUAUUAUUGGGUUUAUCUAAGGAUGGAAAAUUGACCCUUUUUACCUUAAAAAUGCAGACAUUUAAUGACUAAAAACUGAGUGUCAACGCUACAAGCGAUGCAUCGCGCUAUGAUUGGGUCGAACCUCAGAAGUUUUGGCUCUGGCAGCCUGCACAAAUAUUGACCAAUACGAUUGGCGAUGCGGUGCUCCAUGAUUGCAUUGGUCCACUAUUUUGGGACUCCAAACAUAAUCUAAAUGUGUUUUGAAAAAUCUAAAACUUAUUCAGAAACACCUAUUGACCUUCCUGAUCAUGAACUAAUAAAUAUAUGGACCAUUAAAGGACGUUAAGGUGGUGAAAUGAGAUUGUCAAAUUUUGAAGGUCAAUAAUAGGCUAAGUCUGGGAACCUAGCUAGAAUUUUCUAAGUCUGGCACCCCUUGACAAGCUUAAAGGACUGAAUUAAGCUUUAGGAUUUUACGGGGUCUUACAUAUAAGGCCACCCUUUGUUUGGGCUCAUUAAGGGACUUUUGUUCAAUUUUGUAAUAAGUGUUUCCCUAGUCUAUAAAUAGAAUAUUUAGGUCAUUUUGUCAUUUAGAACUUUGAUGAUAUACCUUGUAAACUCAUUGAGAGUGUUUGGCAAGGUGGAAUCCUUGUGGCAAGAUAAAAUCCUUGUGUUGUUAACUUGCUUAGAAAUGGUGGUUGCUUGGGAGUUCCCAUUCCCUUGAGGUAUCCGUAAGAGUGUAGGUGUCUUGUAUUCAUGUUGUUUGUGUUUUGAUGUUUAAUAUACAUCUUAGUUCCUAUAACGUAUAGUACAUUAUGUAUCACUAUCUAUCCUCUUAGUUAUAAUCAACGUGUUUUCCGUUCUGUAUUGCUUGUUCAUCUCGUGAUAGUGGACUAUUUUGUGCCAUUUCGUGGGCUGUUUUAGCACUUUAUAGGUCGUUCUUGUAUCAUUUGGUAUUAGAUCUAUCAUUGAUUUCAUUUUUAUUAGAUCAAUCUUGGGCUUGUUCCCUCAAAAAAUUAAAAAAAAAGUGUUGAAAAACUCAAAAAUAGUAAUCUGUCCACGUUUUUGUGCUUAGGCCAAAAUUUAAAACCUAUUUUUCUUGUGAUUUUUGUGUGUUUUGUGUUUUCUAGUGUUAUAUAUUUGUUUCCUAACAUUAGAAGAGGUGUCCAAGGUCGAAAAUCUCACCAAAAGAAUCUAUUCUACGAGUUUGGUGUCUUGGACAAAGUGUUGUUGUUGUUUGGCCAAAUUUGUGUCUAGAUUUAGGUUCUGUUUUGAUUGUAUUUGUUGUUUAUUGUGUUGGUUUUAUUUGUCUCUAACACUACUUGAGUCUAACCCAAGUUCCUGAGCAAAAAAAAUUGCAAGUUGUUGUGGGAAGAGUGGACGGCUUUGUUGUUGUUGUCGGAGUUCUUGUGUUGUGGUGAAAGUCUAGUAAAAGGUUGUUGUUUGAUCUAAAUUCAAAGGGAAGAUAGUGUGGGUUCUUAUUAGUCUUAGAAACAACUUUCAAGACAUUACCAAAGGUGAAAAAGAACAAAAGACCUCCCAAAAGUCUUCAUACCAAAAGGGAGUAAAUUCAUUUUUACUAGACAAGACAAAAGAGGAAAGGGGGACAAGACCUCCAAAAGGUUGUCUUGACAUUUUGGUGCAAGUAGGUGAAAGACUUUAUGAGUAUUGAAAGUAGAGUCUAGACCUUUUUUGUCUCAUACCUUGGCCGAAAUUCUCCUCUUCACAUGAAAUUGAACAAUUAGUUUCUUGAAAUAAAAAUUUUUCAAAUUCAACCACAUUCCAACGUCCAAUAGUUAAGUGCCAUGUCAUCAAAGAGCUCAAGAAUAUUGGAUAUUCUAGUUUCACUUUCUUGAUUCCAUUAGUUUCAAUUUUUUUGAUUCUCAUGCUAAUUAGCAAAUAGUAAAUACCUACUAGGUUGUAGAUUAGUUUUUGAGUACGUUUUCUUUCAUGUUAAACGUUGUAUUGUAUGCUUUUCUCGUUUUUAAGUCAUAGUAUUUUCUUUGGUCCAAGUUCGAACAUCAUUUCUCAAGUUGUUUCAAACAAUAAUAUACUCCAAUCUCAAGCCAAAAUUGGGACCAAGUAACCUCAUUGGAGUAUAAGCGAGUUAUCAACACUUGUGAGACCAAUAGAGUGAAACUUCAAAAGUAUGAGCUUGAGAGAUUGCAGACUAUUUUGAGAUGAAUUGUGGACUGAUUUUUGCUAACCUUUAAUGUGUUUGCAGCUUUUGUGUUGUUUAUUUAGUAGUUCUUUAUAGGUACAAUAGCGGAUGAAGGUGAAAAGCCUAGUUGGUUUAAAUCCAUCGUGGCAAAGUUUGAUGUCAUGGAUAGCCGCUUGGGAUAUUUUGAAGGGAAAAUGGAGAGAAUGAAAAGAUGAAUAGAAAAAAUUAAAAGAAUAAUAGAAAUAAUGGAAUGACGAAUAGAAAGGACGGAGAGCUCUAUUUGCAAGAAGUUGGUUAACUUGAUAGAGCAGCCAAGCUUUCCUAAUAUAAUUCCCGUGAGUGGCCAAGCUCCAGAUGAGCUACUAGGUAAUCAAACAAACUCUUGCACUCUAGUGAAUAAGGCAAAUAAACAACUAAGUGUGAAUGAUAGUUUUUCUUUAGGUAAGCCAAAUGUUCCUUCAUUUUGUGAUGAUAAUGUACAACUUCAGAUUGUGGAUACACUAGUUGAUCCACCUAGUGUUGAAGAUAUUGUGUCAAGUGAUAUUAUAUCAUCUUAUGGAAGUCAUGAAGACCAACUUGUGUGUGAAAAUGGUGAUAUUGAACAUGUUGUCCGAUUGACUAAGGAUAACCCUCUAAUUGUUUUUGUUGUAGAUCAUGAUAGUAUAGAGGGAAAAAUUGACCGUAAUUGUAGUAGUAUAAGGGUAGGUAAGUGUGUUCCCAACCCAUUCCCAUGGACACUGCAUCCGUUUGACCCCGAUAAUCAUUUGAAAUAUGGUGAUGAUGUUUUUUGGAAUGACAUGAAUGUGCAUGGAAUGUAUGGUUUUCCUAUCUCGACUUUCAAGCCUAUUUGUUGUUCCAAGAAGUGUCUAAAUUUUCCAUCUGAUAAGCAACUCUUGUUCCUUGUUUCUUGUCAUACUUAUGUGGGUUGCCUAAUUUAUUCUUUCUUGAGAGGGUAUUCGGGUAAGAGGGAUGUUUGGUUGUAUGUGAAGUUUUAGCCAUCAUGGCAAGAUGCUAUGAUGAUUACACUAAUCCUAACCCUCAUACCCUAAGGAACUUGUUUGCUUGUCCUUCCUAUUGUUUUGCAAGGUUUAGAUUCGAGGAUGAAUUCUUUCUAAGGAAAGGAGGAUGAUACGGGUCAAAGAGGCAUCGAGGACAUGAAGACGUGAGUGAAGACCCGAGCUUGUGGGGAUGACCAUCCAAGGAACAAGCUUUGAAGUGUUGAGAACAAGUCCCAACACUCCAAAACUUUCCAAGGAGAACACUACAAGGCCGCCCUUUUUUUGGGCUCAUUAAGGGCCUUUUGGUCAAUUUUGUAAUAAGUGUUUCCCUAGUCUAUAAAUAGAACAUUUAGGUUAGUUUGUUAUUUAGAACUUUGAUGAUAUAUCUUGUAAACUCAUUGAGAGUGUUUGGCAAGGUGGAAUCCUUGUAGCAAGGUGGAAUCUUUGUGUUGUUAACUUGCUUAGAAAUGGUGGUUGCUUGGGAGUUUCAAUUCUCUUGAGGUCUCCGUAAGAGUGUAGGUGUCUUGUAUUCAUGUUUGUGUUUUGAUGUUUAAUAUACAUCUUAGUUCCUAUAACGUGUAGUAUAUUAUGUCUCACUAUCUAUCCUCUUAGUUAUAGUCAACUUAUUUUCUAUUCUGUGUUUCUUGUUCAUCUUGUGAUAGUGGACUGUUUUGUGUCAUUUCGUGGGUUGUUUUAGCACUUCAUAGGUCAUUUUUUUAUCAUAAAGAAAAUAUUUUGUCACUACCUAGUUCUUUUACUUCUACUUUAAAAAAUAAAGAAAAUGAUGAUUUUGAGUUAAGAAGAAGUAAACGAGCUAGAGUAGAAAAAGAUUUUGGGAUUAUGUUUUUAAUGUUGAAGAUGACCCUCUCACUUUAAAAAAAGUUUUUGUCUUCACAUGAUGUUAUUUUUGGAAAGAGGUUGUAAAUGAUGAAAUGAAAUCACUAAUCUCCAAUAAAACAUGGAAGCUAGUUGAUUUACCUCCGGGUUGUAAAAUAAUUGGAUGUAAAUGGAUCUUACGUAAAAAGUUAAAACCGGAUAGAUUUGUUGAUAAAUACAAGGUUAGGCUAGUGACUAUAGGUUUUAAACAACUAGAAGGCCUAGAACUUUUUGAUACUUUUUCUUCAGUAACUAGAACUACAUCCAUUAGAUUUUUAGUUGCUAUUGCGGUAAUUUUUUAUUUAUAAAUUCAUCAAAUGGAUGAAAAAACUAUUUUUUAAAACGGAGAUCUAAAUGAGGAGAUCUACAUAGAACAAUCCGAGUGUUUUGUUGAGGAUGGCCAAGAAAGCAAAGUGUGUAACUUAAUAAAUCCCUAUAUGGCUUAAAACAGGCACCAAAGCAAUGGCAUGAAAAGUUUGAUUCCUGCAUGAUUGAUAAUGGGUUUAAAACGAAUGAGUGUAACACCCCGAAAACGGGUCUCGGAGUGUCACACGGUGCUUGAGGCUAAUAGCCCCAAGCUAACCCUUUGAGCCAUUUUCAUUUAGUUCAACACGAAUCGAUGGAGUUUUCAUAAAUAACCCUCAAAUAUCAACAAAGUAAUCAUCAUCCAAGAAUAAAAGAAUUUCAGAAAGAUAACAAAAUAUGACUUAUUAGUCAACUCCCAACAUCUAUACUAGUCUGAAAAUCCUUUAAGAAAAUCAAAAAAACCAGCGAGCCAUUGAGACAUGCCCCAACUGACUUAUACUCAGUUAUCAAAUGUAAAUAAUUUCGUGAAACCAAUAUCAGACAUCAUGUCCUCAGAACAUGAGGACUCACCACAACAGAGGACGUAGAACAGCGUGCCCGAAGAUUUACUGUCGAACCUGGAACUGAGCACCUGAACCUACAUUUCGAGAAAAUACAACCCACAUCUGAAGAUGUGGGUCAGUACCAUGGAAAGUAACCGAGUAUGUGGGGGUGUAUGCAGUUUUAUAAACAUCAUCAUCAUAAAUAUUUAUAAGAAAUAUGCAGGAUGUAUGAAAGACUCACAUAGGCUGAAGAAAAUCAUCAUAAUCAUGAGAGGAUGAAAUAAGUACAAUAACACAUGUGAGUCAUCAUAUAAUUUGUCAAUCACAUUCAGUUCAUCAAGAAUAUCAAUUCUCAUAAUGUAAAUAUCAUUUAAAUCUCUCAAAAGAAUAAAUUUCUGAGCUACAUGGAGUCCAACGUACAACCCACGUUGGGGAGAGCUGUCCUAUCCUUGCCAUCGGACUAGGACUAUCGAUAUCAAAUCCAUACAAACUAGUGAUCACUAUAUAAAUUAGCCUCAGGCUCACUCCUAUGGGGGCACGUAGUUCUAGGAAAGUAAGGUCGUUUUAUACCUCCCACUAGGUGCUAAAGAUUUCUCCCGGGCUUAGCUUAAAUCAGUUCAAAGACAAUCCACAACAAAACAAUUUUAGUAAUAUAUAAAUAUACAUCGGGAGCCAUCAUGAUAUGUUUUCCAUAUAUCAAAAUCAACCACAUUGUGGAUUUUUUUCACACUCGAGUUCAAAACAACUCCAUUAAGACCAAAAGGUCAAAUCAUUCAAAAUAUCUCAAAUAUUCAACAUCAACAUGCUUAUAACACACACUUUCUAAAAAAAACNNNNNNNNNNNNNNNNNNNNNNNNNNNNNNNNNNNNNNNNNNNNNNNNAAUAUCAUUCAAGAUUCAUGCUUUAUAUCUCCACACAUGUAAAUUCAUCUUUCAAAAUCAUAAACAUCAUGAUUUCAUAAUAAUCAUCAUAAGAUAUGGGUUCAUGCUUCAAAUUCAUAAAAAUCAAAUAAAAAUCAUGCCUUUGUAAAGAAAAUUACUUUUGGGCACAAGAACGAAAGAGAGUUCUUGUUGAAAAACCCCACAUACCUUGAAUGAUGAACUUUAGAUCGAUACUCGUUUUUUAAAUGUUAAUCGUGCCUUUGAAUGAUGUUUCUUGGAGUUCUUAAAUUAGGUACUUGAAAUCUUGAUUAAAUUUACAGAAUUAAUGGUGAACUUUGGAGGUUCUGGAAGUUCUUGAACUAGGAACUUGGAAUCUUGAAUAAAUUUGCAGAAUUAAUGGUGAACUUUGGAGGUUCUUGAAGUUGGAUGUAGGAGCUUAGGGUUUUCUUUUUGAGGGAAUUUGAUGAAAUAUAACAUAUAAUGCUUCUAAUAGGCUUUAAUAUAGAGUUUGGAUGGAUUUUGGGUGAGGAGAAAUGACCAAAACACCCCUAAAAAUCAAAUAAUUUUUGAAUCUGUCCUUUGGUGGACUGUUUUGAUAGUCUGAAGUAGAUCAACCAUAACAUUUUCUCCGAUAUCCAAAUUGGAUGAAACCAAUUUAAUUAGAAAGAGGGCUCUCAUAUAUUUCUGUUGAUAUAUAGUAUCUCACCUAGAUCAUUGUGUAUGAGGAGUUAUAAUCGUUUGAAGUUGACAAAAAAAAUCGCUUUUGAUAGGCUGAAGUAAAUCGAUCAUAACUUUUUGCUUCGAUAGACAAAUUGGAUGAAACUGAUUUCAUUGGAAAGAGGACUCACAGAUCUUUCCAUUGAUAUAUAGUAGAUCACCCUGAUCAUUAUGUACAAUGAGUUAUGAUCAUUUAAAUUUGGAGCAAAAAUACGCCAGGCCUCAGUACUUUUUCCUGCACAUUUUACUGUUCACUACUAUUCACGAUUCGAUCGGAAUGUUCAUAACUCGUCGCUCGGGUGUCCGUUUUGGAUGAUCCACAAAUCGUUGGAAAGAUUAUUCGAUACUCUACGUAAUGGUGGGUCAUAAUAUAAGAUAUUAUAUACGAAAAAAUUAUAAUUUAUUUUAGAAGAUAGAACCCAACACGUUUACGCAAA